GAUGAACGCUGGCGGCGUGCUUAACACAUGCAAGUCGAACGAAGCACUUUAUUUGAUUUCCUUCGGGACUGAUUAUUUUGUGACUGAGUGGCGGACGGGUGAGUAACGCGUGGGUAACCUGCCUUGUACAGGGGGAUAACAGUUGGAAACGGCUGCUAAUACCGCAUAAGCGCACAGCAUCGCAUGAUGCAGUGUUAAAAACUCCGGUGGUAUAAGAUGGACCCGCGUUGGAUUAGCUAGUUGGUGAGGUAACGGCCCACCAAGGCGACGAUCCAUAGCCGACCUGAGAGGGUGACCGGCCACAUUGGGACUGAGACACGGCCCAAACUCCUACGGGAGGCAGCAGUGGGGAAUAUUGCACAAUGGGCGAAAGCCUGAUGCAGCGACGCCGCGUGAGCGAAGAAGUAUUUCGGUAUGUAAAGCUCUAUCAGCAGGGAAGAUAAUGACGGUACCUGACGAAGAAGCACCGGCUAAAUACGUG
This 481-nucleotide ribosomal RNA is filed under the name uncultured bacterium. Its description in RNAcentral is "partial 16S ribosomal RNA". It matches the Rfam family "Bacterial small subunit ribosomal RNA", at positions 28 to 507 of the family's 1533-position model. The record is from RNAcentral.